Molecule: ribosomal RNA, 468 nt
Filed under: uncultured bacterium
Lineage: Bacteria
Description: partial 16S ribosomal RNA
Rfam family: Bacterial small subunit ribosomal RNA
Source: RNAcentral
GACGAACGCUGGCGGCGUGCUUAACACAUGCAAGUCGAACGGAAAGGCCCUGCUCUUGUUGGGUUCUCGAGUGGCGAACGGGUGAGUAACACGUGAGUAACCUGCCCUUGACUUUGGGAUAUCUUUUGGAAACUGGGGCUAUUACCGGAUAUGAUCUCUUGCACCACAGUGGGGGUUGGAAAGUUUCGGCUGUGGGGGAUGGUAUCGCGGGUUAUCGGCUUGUUGGUGGAGUAGUGGCUUACAAAGCCUUCGAAGGGUAGCCUGCCUGGGAGGGUGAACAGGCACCUGGGGACUGAGAUACGGACCAGACUGCUACGGGAGGCAGCAGUGGGGAAUAUGACACAGUGGGCGGAAGCGUGAUACAGCAACGCCGCGUGCGGGAUGACGGCCUUCGGGUUGUAAACCGAUGUCGACUGUGACGAAGCGGGAGUGACGGUAAUGGGUAAAGAAGCACCGGCUAACUACGUG